AAAUUGAAGAGUUUGAUCAUGGCUCAGAUUGAACGCUGGCGGCAGGCCUAACACAUGCAAGUCGAACGGUAACAGAAAGCAGCUUGCUGCUUUGCUGACGAGUGGCGGACGGGUGAGUAAUGUCUGGGAAACUGCCUGAUGGAGGGGGAUAACUACUGGAAACGGUGGCUAAUACCGCAUAACGUCGCAAGACCAAAGAGGGGGACCUUCGGGCCUCUUGCCAUCAGAUGUGCCCAGAUGGGAUUAGCUUGUUGGUGAGGUAACGGCUCACCAAGGCGACGAUCCCUAGCUGGUCUGAGAGGAUGACCAGCCACACUGGAACUGAGACACGGUCCAGACUCCUACGGGAGGCAGCAGUGGGGAAUAUUGCACAAUGGGCGCAAGCCUGAUGCAGCCAUGCCGC
Molecule: ribosomal RNA, 403 nt
Filed under: Salmonella enterica
Lineage: Bacteria; Pseudomonadati; Pseudomonadota; Gammaproteobacteria; Enterobacterales; Enterobacteriaceae
Description: bacterial SSU rRNA
Rfam family: Bacterial small subunit ribosomal RNA
Source: RNAcentral